GCUAUGGUAGUUUAUUAAAAACACCAGCCCGUGGCGCUGUAAACGGGAACCACCCCCCCCCAUAGCC
This 67-nucleotide transfer RNA is filed under the name Furcifer bifidus. RNAcentral's name for it is "tRNA-His". The record is from RNAcentral. Lineage: Eukaryota; Metazoa; Chordata; Lepidosauria; Squamata; Chamaeleonidae.